This 101-nucleotide ribosomal RNA is filed under the name Polystachya adansoniae. Its description in RNAcentral is "partial 18S ribosomal RNA". It matches the Rfam family "Eukaryotic small subunit ribosomal RNA", at positions 1731 to 1831 of the family's 1831-position model. Lineage: Eukaryota; Viridiplantae; Streptophyta; Magnoliopsida; Asparagales; Orchidaceae. RNAcentral also lists the same sequence under 2 other names. The record is from RNAcentral.
CGCCGCCCACGACACUGCGAGAAGUCCAUUGAACCUUAUCAUUUAGAGGAAGGAGAAGUCGUAACAAGGUUUCCGUAGGUGAACCUGCGGAAGGAUCAUUG